CAGUCGCCGCGGGAAUACGAAGGUCCCGAGCGUUGUUCGGAAUCACUGGGCGUAAAGGGAGCGUAGGCGGCGUGGUAAGUCAGAUGCGAAAUCCCAGGGCUCAACCCCGGAACUGCAUCCGAUACUGCCGUGCUAGAGGAUUGGAGAGGCAGCUGGAAUUCUCGGUGUAGCAGUGAAAUGCGUAGAGAUCGGAAGGAACAUCUGUGGCGAAGGCGACUAUCUGGGCCAACACUGACACUGAGGCACGAAAGCGUGGGGAGCAAACAGGAUUAGAUACCCCCGUAGUCCCUGUCUCUUAUAC
RNAcentral lists this ribosomal RNA (301 nucleotides) under uncultured bacterium. RNAcentral describes it as "partial 16S ribosomal RNA". It matches the Rfam family "Bacterial small subunit ribosomal RNA", at positions 509 to 807 of the family's 1533-position model. The record is from RNAcentral.